GAACGCUGGCGGCGUGCCUAAUACAUGCAAGUCGAGCGAACGGACGAGAAGCUUGCUUCUCUGAUGUUAGCGGCGGACGGGUGAGUAACACGUGGAUAACCUACCUAUAAGACUGGGAUAACUUCGGGAAACCGGAGCUAAUACCGGAUAAUAUUUUGAACCGCAUGGUUCAAAAGUGAAAGACGGUCUUGCUGUCACUUAUAGAUGGAUCCGCGCUGCAUUAGCUAGUUGGUAAGGUAACGGCUUACCAAGGCAACGAUGCAUAGCCGACCUGAGAGGGUGAUCGGGCACACUGGAACUGAGACACGGUCCAGAAUCCCUAGGGAGGCAGCAGUAGGGAAUCUUCCGCAAUGGGCGAAAGCCUGACGGAGCAACGCCGCGUGAGUGAUGAAGGUCUUCGGAUCGUAAAACUCUGUUAUUAGGGAAGAACAUAUGUGUAAGUAACUGUGCACAUCUUGACGGUACCUAAUCAGAAAGCCACGGCUAACUACGUG
This 494-nucleotide ribosomal RNA is filed under the name uncultured bacterium. Its description in RNAcentral is "partial 16S ribosomal RNA". It matches the Rfam family "Bacterial small subunit ribosomal RNA", at positions 31 to 507 of the family's 1533-position model. The record is from RNAcentral.